Molecule: long non-coding RNA, 299 nt
Filed under: Erythranthe guttata (spotted monkey flower)
Lineage: Eukaryota; Viridiplantae; Streptophyta; Magnoliopsida; Lamiales; Phrymaceae
Description: long non-coding RNA (EGUT_LNC003390)
Source: RNAcentral
UUUGGCGUAUUUCUUGCUUAUAGAGUAUUGGUGACGGAAAAUCGUCGCUAGUUGGUCCAUAUUGUCUAUGGAGGAUCCGAGCAAGCCGUUGAACCACUUAUACCUGAUCAACUUGGUGGUCCGAAAAAUCUUGCAGUGAGCUGCGUUACUAAGACCGUAGAGGUCAAUCUUGGCGUAAAAAUUAUUCAAGUGAUCUCGGGGAUCCCCAAUUUUGUCGAAUUGGGAGAUAUUGGGAUCCUGAAUCCGAGAAGCAACACUUCUUCCAUAAUAGCAUGAACAAAUGGGUAUUUCGAAUGGAC